Molecule: long non-coding RNA, 345 nt
Filed under: Struthio camelus australis
Lineage: Eukaryota; Metazoa; Chordata; Aves; Struthioniformes; Struthionidae
Description: lncRNA (ENSSCUG00000013805.1)
Source: RNAcentral
AGCCCUAGGAGCUCCCCUCAACUGCAGAAGGAGCUUUGUAGUGAUUGAAGGAGAAAUCUGGAGUCCAAUUAACUGGAGUCAAAGAGGUUGGAGCACUUUGCAUCUGGUCUGUGCAGGCAGGAGGGACCAUAGGCACGGAGUGCUUGUGAGGGAGCACAGUGGAGAGGUGAGGAGAGGACCAGUGCAGAGAUGUCAUUUUCCCUUGCCCCAGACGUCUCUCUUUUCUUUGUUGAUGCUCUCUAUUCAAGCUUGCACCUAAAGUUGUAGGGUAGGUUCCCUGGAGGCACCUAUUUCUAUCACAGAGCGAAUAUGGCAAAAAAUCUCGCAGUGAAAUGACAUAUGGAC